AAUACACACCGAAGGGGUGGCGAGAACUAAUAUUUAUUUUUACUUUCUGCAAGUUACCGUGUACAGAAGAGUUCGGACCAUCUAGCGGAAAAAAGUCGAAGAAAAAUCCUGUAUCCAUCUGUACGAUAUCAUUCACACAAGAUUAGGAUGCUAAUACCCUUUUUGUUUGCUGCUGCCUGAAACUAUAUUAUUCAUUGCCGAGAAUAGGAUCGACUGGGGAACGAAAGACGGGAACGAGGAGGAGAAACGUUCAAGCUGCAGCGUGUUUUCGGGAUGCAUUUCGUCAAACAUUGAUUCAAAAAGGAUCUGCUGACAGUUGAAAUGAAUAGGCGACCUACAGUCAAUGAAAGAAGCUUUAAGCGGGCAUGAGAAAUUAAUUGCCAAGGUGAUUUCGCCUGCGGAGGUUUUGGGCUGAAUCUUUGUGCAGAGCUAUGAAUGUAGACAAAUUGGAAGAAUCAAUAAAAUUGCAAUUUUCCUAA
Long non-coding RNA from Topomyia yanbarensis, 479 nucleotides. RefSeq lists it as uncharacterized. The transcript has 2 exons. The record is from RefSeq and is a predicted model, not a curated record. Lineage: Eukaryota; Metazoa; Arthropoda; Insecta; Diptera; Culicidae.